Long non-coding RNA from Sphaerodactylus townsendi, 640 nucleotides. RefSeq lists it as uncharacterized. The transcript has 2 exons. The record is from RefSeq and is a predicted model, not a curated record. Lineage: Eukaryota; Metazoa; Chordata; Lepidosauria; Squamata; Sphaerodactylidae.
GUUUCCAGAUGUGGUGGCUGAAAUUGUUACCCCACCAGCAGGAGUCAAUGGUGUGACGCAACGACCAGUGAAGCAGAGACUGAAGACUCAAGACUGCAGCUGCACAUAAGAUGGCAAAACAAUGUAUUGGUUGGAUUGAAAAUGUUGCCACCCACUUGGCCCGAGGUGUCUGUGCCCGUUUCCUUUCGUUUCCUGUUGAAGGAAUGAGGAGAAGUGUCCAAUUCUGAGUGUUGACAGGAUUUGUCAAGCUUCUCAUUGCAUACCUUUGAAGAGACGAGACCAGAGGGAGUAAUGCUAAACAAACGUGCUGUUCAAGUAACCAGUGGCAGCAAUCCUAAAUCGCCAUUCAUAUCUACAAACAAUGACACAUAUUGCAUGCAUUUCCAACUGUGUUUAGCAGACAAGAACAAAACCAUAACAUUCUUGUGAAAAUGCAUUUUCAUUUUUUAAGUCAUAUCCCACUAAACAUAACAUAAACAGCUUUGCUCUUUAGUAUCUGUGGCUUUUUGCCUUGGAAAAGGAUAGGGCCCAAAUACCCACCCCAGACACUUUGAAGUCUGGCAUGAAAGUUCUGUGUAGAGAAAAACGAAAUAGCAAAUGGCUGUAAUUAAAGAUGUGGAUUUAAAUGAGUGAAAGAGAA